CGUGCCUAAUACAUGCAAGUCGAGCGAACGGACGAGAAGCUUGCUUCUCUGAUGUUAGCGGCGGACGGGUGAGUAACACGUGGAUAACCUACCUAUAAGACUGGGAUAACUUCGGGAAACCGUAGCUAAUACCGGAUAAUAUUUUGAACCGCAUGGUUCAAAAGUGAAAGACGGUCUUGCUGUCACUUAUAGAUGGAUCCGCGCUGCAUUAGCUAGUUGGUAAGGUAACGGCUUACCAAGGCAACGAUGCAUAGCCGACCUGAGAGGGUGAUCGGCCACACUGGAACUGAGACACGGUCCAGACUCCUACGGGAGGCAGCAGUAGGGAAUCUUCCGCAAUGGGCGAAAGCCUGACGGAGCAACGCCGCGUGAGUGAUGAAGGUCUUCGGAUCGUAAAACUCUGUUAUUAGGGAAGAACAUAUGUGUAAGUAACUGUGCACAUCUUGACGGUACCUAAUCAGAAAGCCACGGCUAACUACGUGCCAGCAGCCGCGGUAAUACGUAGGUGGCAAGCGUUAUCCGGAAUUAUUGGGCGUAAAGCGCGCGUAGGCGGUUUUUUAAGUCUGAUGUGAAAGCCCACGGCUCAACCGUGGAGGGUCAUUGGAAACUGGAAAACUUGAGUGCAGAAGAGGAAAGUGGAAUUCCAUGUGUAGCGGUGAAAUGCGCAGAGAUAUGGAGGAACACCAGUGGCGAAGGCGACUUUCUGGUCUGUAACUGACGCUGAUGUGCGAAAGCGUGGGGAUCAAACAGGAUUAGAUACCCUGGUAGUCCACGCCGUAAACGAUGAGUGCUAAGUGUUAGGGGGUUUCCGCCCCUUAGUGCUGCAGCUAACGCAUUAAGCACUCCGCCUGGGGAGUACGACCGCAAGGUUGAAACUCAAAGGAAUUGACGGGGACCCGCACAAGCGGUGGAGCAUGUGGUUUAAUUCGAAGCAACGCGAAGAACCUUACCAAAUCUUGACAUCCUUUGACAACUCUAGAGAUAGAGCUUUCCCCUUCGGGGGACAAAGUGACAGGUGGUGCAUGGUUGUCGUCAGCUCGUGUCGUGAGAUGUUGGGUUAAGUCCCGCAACGAGCGCAACCCUUAAGCUUAGUUGCCAUCAUUAAGUUGGGCACUCUAAGUUGACUGCCGGUGACAAACCGGAGGAAGGUGGGGAUGACGUCAAAUCAUCAUGCCCCUUAUGAUUUGGGCUACACACGUGCUACAAUGGACAAUACAAAGGGCAGCGAAACCGCGAGGUCAAGCAAAUCCCAUAAAGUUGUUCUCAGUUCGGAUUGUAGUCUGCAACUCGACUACAUGAAGCUGGAAUCGCUAGUAAUCGUAGAUCAGCAUGCUACGGUGAAUACGUUCCCGGGUCUUGUACACACCGCCCGUCACACCACGAGAGUUUGUAACACCCGAAGCCGGUGGAGUAACCUUUUAGGAGCUAGCCGUC
RNAcentral lists this ribosomal RNA (1434 nucleotides) under Staphylococcus aureus. RNAcentral describes it as "bacterial SSU rRNA". It matches the Rfam family "Bacterial small subunit ribosomal RNA". Lineage: Bacteria; Bacillati; Bacillota; Bacilli; Caryophanales; Staphylococcaceae. The record is from RNAcentral.